This 484-nucleotide ribosomal RNA is filed under the name uncultured bacterium. RNAcentral describes it as "partial 16S ribosomal RNA". It matches the Rfam family "Bacterial small subunit ribosomal RNA", at positions 29 to 507 of the family's 1533-position model. The record is from RNAcentral.
AUUGAACGCUGGCGGAAUGCUUUACACAUGCAAGUCGAGCGGCAGCGCGGCCUUCGGGUUGGCGGCGAGCGGCGAACGGGUGAGUAAUGCAUCGGAACAUGCCCAGUCGUGGGGGAUAACACUUCGAAAGAAGUGCUAAUACCGCAUACGUCCUGAGGGGGAAAGCGGGGGAUCGCAAGACCUCGCGCGAUUGGAGUGGCCGAUGUCAGAUUAGCUAGUUGGUGGGGUAAAGGCCUACCAAGGCGACGAUCUGUAGCUGGUCUGAGAGGAUGAUCAGCCACACUGGGACUGAGACACGGCCCAGACUCCUACGGGAGGCAGCAGUGGGGAAUUUUGGACAAAGGGGGCAACCCUGAUCCAGCCAUUCCGCGUGAGUGAAGAAGGCCUUCGGGUUGUAAAGCUCUUUCGGCAGGAACGAAACGGUGGGCUCUAACAUAGUCCGCUAAUGACGGUACCUGAAGAAGAAGCACCGGCUAACUACGUG